This 1055-nucleotide long non-coding RNA is filed under the name Heterocephalus glaber (naked mole-rat). RNAcentral describes it as "lncRNA (ENSHGLG00100041368.1)". Lineage: Eukaryota; Metazoa; Chordata; Mammalia; Rodentia; Bathyergidae. The record is from RNAcentral.
GAAAUCGUCCUGGGAGAUCCGUGUGUUGUCUGUUUUACUCCGAGUUUGUCUCACAGGCAUGCUACAGCCUUGUCACUUGUAAUUGAUCAUCUGUGAGCAAUUGAGAGGUCAACGACAGGUAGUUGUUUCUGGGCAGUGGCUGGAAGGAGUGCUGGAGUUCGCGUAUACAGAAGGCGCCACACAAAGGUCUUGCCAACUUGGCCAGGCUGGGCUUGAAGUUGGGCUCUUCCUGCCUUCUCCCAGAGUGCUGAGAUUGCUGAGAUUACAGGGCUCAACAGUCCCAAGGCCUGGAUGGUUCUCCUAGCAGCUGGACUCCCUGGAAUGGUUGAUUUGUUGGCCCGGUCACCAGAUAUCCUGGGACGGUGAAGAUGAGAGGAUAUGGCUCUAGGGAGCUCUUCCAGUGUUUGCCUAGGGCUGAAAAAGGAAAAUUGCACCAGGCAGUGAAGUCAGCAUGGAAGACUAUUUUUAAGACUACUGCAAUUGAGGGAUUGAAUUCGGGACCUUGUGCUUUCGAGGCAGGUGCUGGAACCACUGAGCUAAAUCCCCGGCCCCCGCCAUGAUGUUUCUGCCUCACCACGGGCUCAGAAGCAAUGAAGCCAGGUGACCAUGGACUGAAACCUCUGAAACCAUGAGCCAAAAUAAAUCUUUCCCCCUUUGCAUUGUUAUUUUCAAGUGUUUUGUCACCUGACUAACACGGGGAUCACAAGUGAGGGGAUUCUUGCUUACCUUGCUCAGCAGCCUGACAAACCAAUAAGGAGGUCUGGCUCAGAAGACUCAAGUAAAAUCUGGCUGAAGAGGGAGGGAGUCCUUGUCAGCCCCUGCCUCAUUCUACAUGCAAGACGCUGGGACUGUGUCUGUUUGCUCCUGGGAUCCCUGGCCUCCUGGACUGUGAGCUUAGGCCAGUGAUAUCUCUUUAUUUUGCAUAGUGCUGACUGUAGGUGAGUCCUUAAAGGCUGCUCACUCCCUAACACUUUGGGAGACAAAAUUGCAUUGUAGUUAAGAGCACAGGCUGGGCCGGGGAUUUAGCUUAGUGGUUCCGCAGCCUGCCUCGCAAG